UGCCCCCAGCUCUGUGCAGACCGUGGUGGGUGCAAAGGACCUGGGCUCACCCCAGCAUCCCGCUCUGCUAGGUCAGGACUCUGUGCCAGGACCUCCGUGAGGAGGUCAUUGAGAUGAAGGUGGAGCAGUCCCGCAUGAUGGAGGACAUGCAGAGGAUGCAGGAGGAGUUUGCCACGGUGAGCUGCCCCUCAUUGUGCUGCCCUGCCACCCCUGCCCUACAGCCCUUGGAGGCUCCCAGCAUGAAGGGCACCAGGAGGGACGAGUGGGAAGGGUGUCCUAGGGUGCUCAGGGGAAUUGUGGGGUGUUGGGUGAAGGGCUCAUCCCAACCCACCUGGAGCCCCCCACUUGCCUUCUGCCAGCACUGUCUCAGGGAGGGCUGAAGGGCACCACUGCCCACAGAUGAGGCUGGUGGUAGAGGUCACUGCCUCCCUCAGGGCUGCUGGGGCAUUUAUGAACUGAACAGCCAUCAAAAAAAAAGUAACCUGGGUCCUGGGAAGGUGGGGAGACAAAGGUCCACCUGUGAAAUACAGCCACAGCCACUUGGCAUAGCACUGUGUCUGGUGUCCAAAUUAAUUUUCAAAUGUUCCUUUUAAAACCUGCUCCUGUGUUGUGACUCCUGUCCCUGUCCUCACCAUACUCCACGGGAACUUCUAGAACGUGGAUGAGCUCCGUAACCAGUUGCUGUCUACCAUGACGGAAAUGCUCCAGGGCAAAAAAGGCUCCCGGGACGUGGAUACUCUCUCUGUCCAGUCACGGCCGUUGGAUGACGACCUGAUUGUCAUCGGCAAUGAAAGUACCUCUGGGCACGGCUGGGGAGGGACUCGCAGGGUGGGAGGGCACAGGGGGCCUGCAGAUGCUGGGUGUUUCCCCAGCCCUGACCCUGGGGAGCUCCCUCUGGUCUCUUCUUCCAGUUACCCUCGUGGAUAGAUCUGUAUCGAGGCUUGGGGACAUGCGGCCUGCCAGCCCUAUGCCCCAGAGGGGCAAGACACCCAGCAGAGGGAAGGGUUUGCUGGAGCCAAAUGCCAGCAGCCAACCGGUCUCCGAGGCACAUGACAUGGGACAGAACGUGGGACGGAGUGACAUGGGACGGAGGGGCAUGGGAUGGGACACAGGACAGAGGGACAUGGGACGGAGGGGCAUGGGAUUGGACACAGGACAGAGGGACAUGGGACAGAGUGACAUGGGACAGAAUGGGGGACAGCAGAAGGUGAGACGAAAGGUGCAGCUGAGCGACACAGGACAGGAUGACGUGGGACAGAUCAAGGAUGGAGAGAUCAAGAUGAGUACUUCCAAGGCAGAGACUCUUCCCAGUGACCUGGAUGUUCCUCCUGAGAUCGCCGAUGUGGGAGAGAUCAUGGAUGAAGAGAGGAAGAUAAGUAUUUCUAAGGCAGAGACUCUUCCCAGUGACCUGGAUGUUCCUCCUGAGAUUAUUGAUGCAGGAGAGAUCAUGGAUACAGACAUCAUGGAUGAAAAGAUCCAAACGAGCAUGUCUAAGGUAGAGGCUUUUCCCAGCCUCCUGGAUGGUUCCCCUGAGAUGACCAGUAUGGGAGAGAUCAAGGAUGGAGAGACCAAGAUGAGCUUCUUCAAGGCUCCUCCUGACGUUCAGAAAAAAGGUUUGGAUAGUGGUUUCACUGCCUCGGGAAUGCAUCCAGGAGCCCCUGGCACCCACCCCCCAGUCCAGCAGGUGCAGCCAAUAGGAGUCCCCCCAGGAUCCCAGAAACUCUGGACCCCAGACAAGAGUGUGGCUGGGACUAGCAGACACCCCCCGACGCGGCCAUCGGCGCCGCCGCAGUCCCCCAGCUUCUCUGGGCACCUGCCCCGUGCUUUCAAGCGGCACCCUUGUGUUCCAGUACCGAGGCGCAGGGAGCUGGCACCCCCGGGCUAUUCCCGCCGAUCACCGCUGUACUCUGGGGGCAAACACACCACCACCUACGCCGUGCAGCCCAUGGAGCCCCUCCUUCCAGACCCCAACAAGGUAGGGAUGGGGAAGGGGGGAUACAGACAGCGGCCACCGAGGCUGAGGGUGAUGCUGAGCGUCUGGGGGAGCAUCUAUGCCUCAGUUUCUCCAGGAGGAGCUGGGUGGAGAGGCUGCCUUGGGGAUGCUGAAUGUAGCCCAGUGUGGCAGCCAGCCCAUCUCCUCCUUCCCAGCCUGGUGUGUGUGAGCUGAUGGGCAAGGACGGACUCUUGUACCGGGGCCGGACUCCCUAGGGCUGGACUGAGCACCGACUCCAGCCUGCAGCAAUAAAGGGAGAUGAGCAGCCGAGCAACUGUGCCUCCUGAGUGGAGCAGGAUCUUCUCUUCGUGCACAAGGAGAGGCUGGCAGCAUCCCUCAUCUGAGAACAGCCCCUGUGAACCCCCUCCCAGGGCCUGUGUCAGCCUCCGGGUGUCGCACACCCCUGGCCCUCACGAGCCCCACUUGUGCCCUGCCAGGGGAGCCUGUGGCCCCCAAAGGGGUCUGGGACAGCAGGGGAGGAGGAGCUCAUUUGCUGCUGGAGAAGGAGAAAAUGGGGACCUCAGUGGGAAGGGCAGCAGCAGAACAGUUUGAUACCAAAAGCAAAUCCCACCCCAAGCCACUGGUUUGCUGUCACCCAUCCCCGGGAUGAGCAUCACUGAGCUGCCUUCCCCAUCUCCAGGUGAAGAAACCCCCCCUGUCACCCCCGUGUCCUUCUUGCAGUGCUGCCAUUGAUUGAAGGCACAAACCCCUCUGCUCCCCACCUCCAACCAAUACACCACAACCCCUGGAGAGUGACAUGUCCCUUCCUUUCCCUUGUGCCACCCCCAAGGCUUGGGGCUGCUCCUCCCCAGGCCCCUGUGCCACCCACCCGUCACCGUGGAUGGGAGGAAGCCUCAGUGGGUGCUGAGACUGAACACACGCCGUCGGGGGGGGGGAUACUGGGCAGGGAGCAGCAUGGGGGCACUGAGGGGUGUCACAGCUGGGGACACACGGCUGUGUGCACAGGCAGUGACCCUUCCUGGGGGGACACAGAGCUGGUGGCACCUCUCAGUGAGUGGGAGGGUGAGAAACGCUGAGGGGAAUCCCAGAGGAACCUGGGGUGACCCAGAGCUUAUGGGGGACAUCCCCUGGGGGCUGCCCUGUGGAAGCCCUGCCCUCCUGGUGGAUGUCCCCAUACCUUCCCCCCCCCCGAAGGGACAGCCUCCAUCCCUGUCUGCUCCACUGUAUUCCACAGACAUCUCAGUUCCCAGGGAGUUCCCCCUGGGAUGUUCUCCCUGGUGGGUUUGGUUUUUCAGGAGAAAACCGGGUGCUCAAAACCACUUUGGGGGUACUGAGGUGGUCACAGCAGGACCUGGGAUGCCCCCAGUGCCACCUCCUUUAAGAUAACUGGGAACGCUCUGAGCAAACCCCUGGGCACCAGAGCAGAGCCAACAAAGAACCAUCCUGCACUCCUGGCUGGGGUUCAGUGGCGUAAAAACAAACAUCUCUGGGGCCAGUUUGCAGGACAUGGCCCAGCUGGGUCAGCUCUUUGGUGCCCAUCAGCCCCCUGCCCCCAGGAUGCAGAUGCACCCUAUAAACACCCCACCCCCUGAACACACCCAGCCUUGGGUGAUCUUUGGAGCAGGUAAGUGAUCCCAGAUGGGGGAUUUUUUAGCCUUUUCUCCUUGGAGUUUGGAGCAGGUAAGUGAUCCCAGAUGGGAGAUUUUUUUGCCUUUUCUCCUUGGAGUUUGUACCAUCCCAGGGACCUCCCCAUCCCUACAGGAAGCUUUGGACUGCUAUUCCCAGAGCUGCUGUGUUCCCAUUUUGGGGGUUUUACCCCAGCUGUUUGGUGUGUGAACACAGUGACCACAGGUCUGGUGAGCUCCCAUGUCCUCUGGCUGGUGACCCUUCUGCAGAGGGGGACAUCAUCCCCUCCCCAAGUGUCCCCACAGUGCUGAGGCCUGGAGGGGGCUCCUUACUGGGUGGGUGAUGGGGCUGGGGGGCCCAGGUUGCUGGGGGGGUUUUUGCUAGCUGUGAGAUUUUGUGAGAGGACACACAGGGGUGCCAGCUGCAGCCCCUGGCACAGGGGGUUCCUCACUGUGCCAGCACAGCACCCCCAUGGCCCUGGGUCUUCCCUUCCCUCUGACCCCUCCUCUUUGGGGACAGCAGUGGUGGCUUGUGGAGGCAGAGCAGGGACUCAAGUCCCCAGUGGUGAUGCUGCCUCACACAGGAGUCACCUUCAUUUUCAGCUACACCCACCCAGAAGAGAGAAAAGGCAGGGAUAGCUGGUGUUAAAAAAGUGAUUUUUUUUUUAAUUUUUAUUAUUUUUUAAAUUAAUAAAAAACCUUCAACCUGUUUUUUGCUGGGUCUUUUUUUUUUUUUUUUUGGUUUGUUUUUCUGUUUGUUUUUUUUAAGGGGGGGGGGGGGGGGGGGGGGGGGGGGGGGGGGGGGGGGGGGGGGGGGGGGGGGGGGGGGGGGGGGGGGGGGGGGGGGGGGGGGGGGGGGGGGGGGGGUUCUGUUUGUUUUUUUUAAGCAACAUUGAUUUGAAAACUAAAAAACCCCCAGCUCCCCCCUGCCUGGGGAAGCGCCACAUAGGGCGGUCACAGGGACAGGGGGACAUCACUUUGAUAAACCCCCAGGCCCUGGGGGUGCUGAGGGAGGGAGGACAGGGUUGGGGGCAAGUCCAGGGGGGGUCUGUGCAAGAAGCCGGGCUGAAUUUCGGGAGCCAGAGAGCUGCAUUUGCUCUGAGCACUGCAACGAGUGCCCAGGGAAGGCAGAGCUGGGGAGGGUGUCCAUGGCUCCACGUCUGUGUGGCCAUGAUCUGGGGUGCCAACAGCCACCUCCAUCCAUUCAUUCUUGUUAUUCCUGUCCUCCCCUUCCUUCUCCUGCCCUCAUGUAGAGAGGCUGGGUGAGGUUAGAGCCACAGGGAAAACCCCCCAGACACCCAGCAGCUGCCUCCACGCUGCUGCACCUUCUCUCUGCAUUUAUAUACAUUAGAUAUAUUUAUAUAUUAUAGUUAUAUAUUUUUUAAAAAAAAGGGGAGAGGAGUAGAGAGCAGCCAGAGGCUCUCAUGGGGUCAGUGCCCUCCCUGGCAGCAUGUGCUCCCCCCCCUUAAAAAUAAUAAUAAAACCUAGAAAAUUAUUCCAGUGCGUUUCUCGGCGAGCCCCCGCCCCCAAGGGGGGGGGGGGGGGGGGGGGGGGGGGGGGGGGGGGGGGGGGGGGGGGGGGGGGGGGGGGGGGGGGGGGGGGGGGGGGGGGGGGGGG
This is a long non-coding RNA of Ficedula albicollis (Collared flycatcher), 5196 nucleotides long. The record is from Ensembl. NCBI's taxonomy places the organism in Eukaryota, Metazoa, Chordata, Aves, Passeriformes, Muscicapidae.